Pelobates cultripes (western spadefoot toad) is the source of this 213-nucleotide non-coding RNA. NCBI's taxonomy places the organism in Eukaryota, Metazoa, Chordata, Amphibia, Anura, Pelobatidae. The record is from the annotation of a GenBank genome assembly.
UAACGUGUGUGGGAGCCUGGAGUGACCCUUUAAUAAUAUAAACCCACCCAGUAUAACUAACUGUAACCUAACAUACACAGUGCAUCUAACGUGUGUGGGAGCCUGGAGUGUCCCUUUAAUAAUAUAAACCCACCCAGUUUAACUAACUGUAACCUAACCUACACAGUGCAUCUAACGUGUGUGGGAGCCUGGAGUGUCCCUUUAAUAAUAUAA